This 253-nucleotide long non-coding RNA is filed under the name Setaria italica (foxtail millet). RNAcentral describes it as "long non-coding RNA (SITA_LNC003953)". Lineage: Eukaryota; Viridiplantae; Streptophyta; Magnoliopsida; Poales; Poaceae. The record is from RNAcentral.
GAAGCAGCCACAGACGAGAACAAGCGCAAAAACCGCAAGCAGGGAAUUGAGGGUAACUGAUGAUAAAAUCAGAGGGCACAUAAUAAAACAACUCUCCAUCCCCCAUCCUAUGUCAGGGUGGCCUUGGCGGCGGUUUUAGGUGACACGUGUGGCGAACCAGGAAACCACAUCUAUAGCAGGAGGGCCUACAUCAGCAUGCUCAUGGGAAAUAAGUUCGUAGGAAGUGGUCACCCAAGAAAAUCAAAACAUGAAG